GGGGGGGGGGGUUGGACGUCCCAGGUUUUGCUAGGCUAACGCCACUGACUCCAGGCGGCCUGCAGGGACAGGGAACCGGCCACGCCUCCGUCCCUCCCCUGCCCGCCGAUUCCCGGGCUGGGAAGGCGGGGGCUACGUACUUGAGGCAGGCUGGCCAACCUGCUGCCACCCCCAACUUGUGGGUCCAAGGAAAGGAAACUGGAGUCUUGGAAGGAAAAGAAGGGCUCCCCUUGAUUUUACAGAUAGUGAAACUGAGACAGGAUGGGGGUGAAGGGAUUGUUCUUGUUUCUAGACUCUCGGGAAAUCAGAAUAGGAGUUGCAAGGGAUCCCGGUCCCCAGCUCCAUCUGCUCUGCCUGGCAGGGGAAUCCAAAGAAGGGAAUGCGCGGUGGGAGGCAGGAUAGUUUCCUAACGUUUUUUCCUUAACAUCUUCCUCCCCCACCCCACCCCACCCUCUCACCCCGGUCAUUUAAUCAUCUGCCCUGUCUGGUGGGACCGGGAGUCGAUCUUGCAUCCGCGGUUGGACCAGACGGCCAGUUCUCGCCCAGUCACCGGCAGACCUGAAGCCUGCUUCCCACCGAGAAGCGUUACUGAAGCUGCGGUGGGAAUGGGCGACGGGAAGAAGGAACGGACGUCAAGCCCAGGGCAUUUACCAGUUUGUUCCGGGCUCGAGGGCCUGAAAUCUGCUCUUCUCGCCUCGCAGGCGCCUGAUUCCGUCUAAAGCCGGCAGGCCAGGCCGUGGCAGAGGCAGCCUCCUGGAGACCGCCUUCGCCCUAGGGCGUGUAAUCCGCAAGACGCUGCUAGGACUCUCCUGGUUUCUCCCCCGUAGUCGCGCAGAGGGCCGGGAGCAAAAUUAUGCUAGGCCACUCUACCUAGAUCGUCACCCCUUGAGAAUGUUUGAGUCUCUAAAUACCCUGUCACCCAAGUUCACACCGCUAGAAACCAGCCUUCCGCGAAAAAUAUGCCGAGGGAAACUCGACCUGCACAGCAUCCCGGAGGCUUUCGACCCACCCGCACUGAGCCGUGGAGCAAAGUGCACAACCUCUGCAACUUCCCCCUAGGACCAGGGCCCUUGACUGCCUGUCUGAUUUUCUCCACUGGGGCUUUCCUCCCGCUCCCGUGGGAACCUGGUAAUCCCACAGUGGCAGUGCUUCGGGCUGCGGGUUGCGAAGCGUAGGUCUAACCUUGUAUUACAAUGGCUUCCUAGAAGAGGAAACCGAGGCCCUCUAACCCCUCAGCCCUUUCCAGCCAAGCCCCUUCCCUAGGCCGAGUAGACAAAUGUGCCUUUCUCUCAAUCAGGAUACCAAGGGGGAGAAAUGGAGUUACAUGCCACCAUACCACUGCAAAACCUGGACAGGAAGAAGAGGCCAGACCCUUGGAUUCCUCUUGCACUGCUCUGUUCUGACCAAAUCGGGGUCCUUCCCUUUUCGGACAACUCUACAGAAUCCAGUUGCCAUAAAUAAGGCUGGUGGUGGAGGAGAGGAGAGUAUCACCAGGUGGCAAAAUCAAGGCCCAGAUGAUGGGAAGGGACCUGCCCAGGGGCUCACAGCUAGAAAUCCAAAACACUCCACUGCAGAUGUAAUCCACUUUAGUUUCUCUGCCACACUCUUCCUUAGCUAAGGAAAAAUUAGGAGAGGGUGCUGUGCAUAUGGAUGUGCCGGGGGAUGGGGAGACCUGUCCAUUCUUAGGUUGUAACAACCGUAAAAAUACAAAACCUAUUUAAGGUAAACCUUCUGCUGCCCUUUGUCUAAUGAGUAACAUAAAUCAAACUCGUGGAAAAAGAAUAUUAAAUUUUCCGAAUCUUCCCUCCGGGCUGGGACGAGAGAAUUCAAGGGAGAAUUAAACAUGUAUGUUUUUUUCCCCUCUUUUUCUGCCUUCCUCCCCCCAUUCCCUUUCUCUUCCGUAGUCUGUAAAUGACAACGUGUU
This is a long non-coding RNA of Marmota monax (woodchuck), 1924 nucleotides long. RefSeq lists it as uncharacterized. The record is from RefSeq and is a predicted model, not a curated record. The transcript is spliced from 3 exons. NCBI's taxonomy places the organism in Eukaryota, Metazoa, Chordata, Mammalia, Rodentia, Sciuridae.